Non-coding RNA from Coffea arabica (coffee), 635 nucleotides. Lineage: Eukaryota; Viridiplantae; Streptophyta; Magnoliopsida; Gentianales; Rubiaceae. The record is from RefSeq and is a predicted model, not a curated record.
AAUAAUGGCUGUCAAGGGGACCAUUGUUGUUUUCUUUGUUAUUGCAUCAGCAGCUUUGCUUUUGUUUCUCCUCCACCAUCCGCUGACGCUCAUCCUCUGGCUUUCUGUCACUUUGAUCAAAUCUACCAACUCGGGGACUCCAUAUCAGACGCUGGGAAUUUGAUUCGGGAAUCUCCACUUGGAGCCUUUUUACCUUUCGCCCGAGCCCCUACGGUCAGACCUUACUAACCCACGAAGCCACCGGCCGUUGCUCCGACGGGCUUCUUAUGAUUGACUACAUUGCGCUGGCAUCAGGUCUACCUCUUGUGAAUCUAUCAAGGAUGCAAAGGCCAGUUUUAUGCACGGAGCAAACUUCGCGGUGGCCGGUGCUACAGCACUGUCAUCAGCUACUCUCGCUCGUCAUAAGGUUAGAAAUCCAGUGACCAUAGUUCCCUCGACGUCCAACUGGAAUGGAUGAAGAUCACUUUCACGAAUUUUGCGGCAGCCAGAGACACUGUGAAAUGAAGCUAAGAAACGCUCUCUUUAUGGUGGGUGAAAUCGGAGGCAACGAUUAUAAUUAUGCAUUCUUUAGCAACAAACGCAAAGUUGAAAUUCUAGACUUCGUACCUCAAGUUGUUGCCUCAAUCAAGAAAGCU